UACGUAGGUGGCGAGCGUUGUCCGGAUUUACUGGGCGUAAAGGGCGUGCAGGCGGUUUGUUAAGUGCAGGGUGAAAGCUCCCGGCUCAACUGGGAGAGGUCCUUGCAUACUGGCGAACUCGAGGGAGGCAGAGGAAAGUGGAAUUCCCGGUGUAGUGGUGAUAUGCGUAGAUAUCAGGAGGAACACCGAUGGCGAAGGCAGGUCUCUGGGCCACUACUGACGCUGAGAAGCGAAAGCAUGGGGAGCGAACAGG
RNAcentral lists this ribosomal RNA (253 nucleotides) under uncultured bacterium. RNAcentral describes it as "partial 16S ribosomal RNA". It matches the Rfam family "Bacterial small subunit ribosomal RNA", at positions 524 to 776 of the family's 1533-position model. The record is from RNAcentral.